UACAGGGGGUGCAAACGUUGCUCGGAAUUAUUGGGCGUAAAGGGCUCGUAGGCGGCCAACUAAGUCAGACGUGAAAUCCCUCAGCUUAACUGGGGAACUGCGUCUGAUACUGGAUGGCUUGGAUUCGGGAGAGGAAUGCGGAAUUCCAGGUGUAGCGGUGAAAUGCGUAGAUAUCUGGAGGAACACCGGUGGCGAAGGCGGCAUUCUGGACCGAUAUUGACGCUGAGGAGCGAAAGCCAGGGGAGCAAACGGG
This 253-nucleotide ribosomal RNA is filed under the name uncultured bacterium. Its description in RNAcentral is "partial 16S ribosomal RNA". It matches the Rfam family "Bacterial small subunit ribosomal RNA", at positions 524 to 776 of the family's 1533-position model. The record is from RNAcentral.